Molecule: ribosomal RNA, 254 nt
Filed under: uncultured bacterium
Lineage: Bacteria
Description: partial 16S ribosomal RNA
Rfam family: Bacterial small subunit ribosomal RNA
Source: RNAcentral
UACGUAGGGUGCAAGCGUUGUCCGGAAUUAUUGGGCGUAAAGAGCUCGUAGGCGGUCUGUCGCGUCGGCUGUGAAAACCCGGAGCUCAACUCCGGGCCUGCAGUCGAUACGGGCAAACUGGAGUGUUGCAGGGGAGACUGGAAUUCCUGGUGUAGCGGUGAAAUGCGCAGAUAUCAGGAGGAACACCGGUGGCGAAGGCGGGUCUCUGGGCAACAACUGACGCUGGAGGAGCGAAAGCGUGGGGAGCGAACAGG